RNAcentral lists this ribosomal RNA (346 nucleotides) under uncultured bacterium. Its description in RNAcentral is "partial 16S ribosomal RNA". It matches the Rfam family "Bacterial small subunit ribosomal RNA", at positions 338 to 681 of the family's 1533-position model. The record is from RNAcentral.
CCUACGGGAGGCAGCAGUGAGGAAUAGUGGUCAAUGGGCGCGAGCCUGAACCAGCCAAGUAGCGUGAAGGAUGACUGCCCUACGGGUUGUAAACUUCUUUUAUAAAGGAAUAAAGUGAGGCACGUGUGCCGUUUUGUAUGUACUUUAUGAAUAAGGAGCGGCUAACUCCGUGCCAGCAGCCGCGGUAAUACGGAGGAUCCGAGCGUUAUCCGGAUUGAUUGGGGUGACAGGGAGCGUAGAUGGGUUGUUAAGGCAGUUGUGAAAGUUUGCGGCUCAACCGUAAAAUGGCAAUUGAUACUGUCAGCCUUGCGUACAGUUGAGUUAGGCGGACUUCGUGGUGUAGCGG